UAUAGUUCAGUGGUAGAACACUUGCCUAGCAUGUAUAAGGCCUUGGGUUUGAAUCCCAGUA
Molecule: transfer RNA, 61 nt
Filed under: Neotoma lepida (desert woodrat)
Lineage: Eukaryota; Metazoa; Chordata; Mammalia; Rodentia; Cricetidae
Rfam family: tRNA
About the family: Transfer RNA (tRNA) molecules are approximately 80 nucleotides in length. Their secondary structure includes four short double-helical elements and three loops (D, anti-codon, and T loops).
Source: Rfam by way of RNAcentral